AUCAAAACGAAAACGCGCGCAUUACAGCCAUUACAGAACGAUACUCACUCGAAGGAAAAUCCGGAUAUUUAGAGAAAAUCCGCCGAACUGGAACGUUUCGAAGUUCUUAUCAGCACCGCAGAUCGGUUCUCAGCGGUGGUAUAAACCUGUAUGAACGACGAGCUCGUAGACAAUUCACAUUCCUCCGGCUAGAGCGCCCAUAGGAUGCACUUUACGAGCCAAAUUAAGGUGGAUGGAAAUAAACGAAUUCGACUAUUGAUUUUGUGCAAAACCAACACCGUUAACCUCAACGGCGAUGUACCUUCCGGAAGUAAGGCGUUCCUCCAGGUUCCUCCUAUUGAAUUCACGCUGUGAUGGGCAUCCUAUGACUAACGGAAAGUGCGAUGCUGGCUUUGCUUAUUCUAACGACGUUGCAUGUUCAAAGACGAAUCAACAUGUAACAGCCGUUUAUUUUCUAACGCUCUCAGGAAAUAUGAUAACAUCUGUUCAACUAGAGGGCUCCCCUGAACGUAGAUUGUAGAUCCCAACUAGCCAUGCUCGGCCGUACUAAUAGGAGAAAAACAGAAAUCAGUAAAAUGAUAGACGCAAUAAAUCAAUCAUUACGAGUUUUAUA
This is a long non-coding RNA of Armigeres subalbatus, 613 nucleotides long. RefSeq lists it as uncharacterized. Lineage: Eukaryota; Metazoa; Arthropoda; Insecta; Diptera; Culicidae. The record is from RefSeq and is a predicted model, not a curated record. The transcript is spliced from 3 exons.